CCAAAUACAACUAUACUCACUCUCUGCUUCUAAACAAUCUGACAGUCUCGUUGGCAUUUCACCGAGCAGCUUGCGUGCAUUAGCAUUAAAGCCAGAGACUUGCAUCCAAUACCACACGUAACAAACCCAAACAACCCUUUCUCAAUCAACUUGUGUGUUCCAAAACCUAUCUUAACCAGAAUCUAAACCAGUACACAACAUAUAACUUUCUCAUCCACUGUUCUGUCUCAAGAAAAGAAACAGAGAUAAUACCGGACAAUGAUCUAUAACAGACCAAAAAGACAAAAAGAAGUCUACAUAGACCAAUUGUGAUCUAUCAUGGACCAAGGGCUGGUAAAUUACCAAUUUGCCAUUAAUGAAAGUGGCAUGUGAACCAUUGGAUCAAAUAAUGGAAACUCUAAUCUCGGUCGUCCAAUUUUCUUCUUCCUUUCUCUUUCUCUCGCCUGGGUCCCACCCAAAAUCCAUAUUAACUCCCUCACAUCUUCAUCUUCUUCAUUACUCAACCACCCACGAAAAUUCAUUUCAAUCACCAACCAAAGUUCUCUUCUUCAAGUUUUUAUCCACAAACCUUUAAUUCUGUUUCUUAGGGUUCUUCUACAGCUUUUCUCGUCCUUGAAACAGCAAAUGUGCCUCGUCCUUGGUCUUGAAAUCGCUUGGUAAGUGUAUACUCUCUCCCUCUCCUUCUCUCUCACUCUUCUCUUCUUUUUUAUUUGUUUUCUGUUUAGUUUUAGUCCCAUAAUAUGUAUGUUACCAUUAUGAGUCAGGUUCCAUGGUUUAAGAUAACGUUCUUAUAGUAUGAAUCAUGAUAUUGUAGAUUAAAUCAUUUUUUACAUUGGUUACACUGGUACAACAGACGUUGAGUACACCUGGUAAACCUGGUAAAACUCGUUAAGAAUAACACUAGUACAACUAGUAAACCUGGUACAACUCUAAGUAACACUGAAUAAGACUAUGGGUAAAACUUGUAUAACUCUUAGUAGUCCUUUGACAAGUCAAAUACUAGUAUAACUAGUAUAACUUAUAAACGACUGUUACAUGUAAACCAGUAUAACUGGUAAUACUAGUAUAACCCGUAUUUUAGCGACUUUAGAACUCGUAUAACUGAUAUAACUUGUAAGCUGUAAUGUUGGUUUUAACUCUUUUCAGGAACUAUGGAUGGUACUGGAGCUGUGGUGAUACAUUUUGAUCAUGGUGGAGACAAAAAUAUUUAUACAUUAGUAAUGAGAGGAAAAUAUGAGGAGAUAACCUAUUCUCGCUUGGUUGAUAGAAUAGGCAAGAAAAUGAAUAUCGAUGUAGCUGCGACGAAGCUUCAACUGAGCUACUAUCCCCUGGUCGUGGAUAAUAAGAGGCCUUGUUAUAUUUUGGAUGAUGAAGAUGUUUUAGGAUAUUUAAUGGAGGUGGAUAGGAAAAACCGGCGUAGUGUUUUGCAUGUGGAGUUUUCCGAAAAUAUCUCAGAAAAUCAGAGUAACGAGCAGUUUUCUAUGAACGAGGAAAUUCAGAUUGAUGCCAGAGCUAAUGAUGGUAUGGCUGGAGUUGAGGAGUUGGCAAUUGUUCCUCAAAACCAAUCAGAUGGGUAUAAUCAUGAGGAGUUAGCAAUUGUUCCUCCAAGACAAUCAGAUAGGUAUGAGCAUGAGGAUUGCAAUGAAGAGGGUGAUGAAAUGAAUGAUAGGGAGGAGUUGCCGGCUGUUACACCAUCUGUAGACACAAUUGUCAAUGCUGAGUGGGAUGAUGGUAUUGAUAUGAGUUUGUAUCAAGAAUUUGCGACUAAGGAAGAGCUGAGGAAUUUAGUGGACGCAGGAGUGCAUUCGAAUUGUUUUGAGGUUGAUAUAAUCAAGACGAAUCGUACUGUUUAUGUAUUGAAAUGUCGUGGGGUUGGAUGCAGAUGGUAUUUACGAGCUGCAAGGCUGAAAAACUCAGCCUUUUUCAGUGUCAGAACGUAUAGAAAGAUGCAUACGUGUACUCGGGGAGAGGGAAGUGUAACCAAGAGGGGGAAAAGAGGAACACCAAGCUUGGUCGCAGGAGUGGUGCAUGAAGAUUAUCCAGGCCAAUACAAGACUCCAGAUCCAAAGUCUCUCAUAAAGUUGGUGAAGAACAAACUAGGUGUCACGGUUUCAUAUUCUACAGCUUUGAGAGGGAAACACAAAGCUGUCAGUGAUUUGCGUGGUAACCCUCAGGAGAGUUUUGCUAGACUUCCAUCUUACUUGUACAUGUUAGAAAGAAUGAAUCCUGGUACCAUCACAAGAUUAGUAGUGGAUGAGAAGAAGCAGUUUAAGUAUAUGUUCUUUGCGCUUAAAGCUUGCAUCGAAGGGUUUCAAGCAAUGAGGAAAGUGAUAAUAAUGGAUGGAACUCACCUGAAGGGUGUGUAUGGAGGAGUGCUUCUCAUUGCCACUGCUCAGGAUCCAGAUCAUCAUCAUUAUCCCCUCGCUUUUGCGGUAGUAGAUGGUGAGAAAAAUGCGAGCUGGGAGUGGUUUUUGACUAUACUGAAAACUUUGAUACCAGAUGAUCCUCAGCUUGUUUUUUGUACUGAUAGAAACCAAUGCAUCAUCAAGAAGGUGCACGAGGUGUACCCAAUGGCGAUCCAUGGAUAUUGCAUUUUUCACUUGUCUAAUAAUGUUGCCGGAGCAUGCAGCAAAGUUAACAAGAAAGGGGUUGCCAGAAAGUUUAGAAAAAUUGCUGGUAUGUACACAGAGGUCGAGUUCAGAAAAAGCUACAAUGAUUUCAGGAGAACGUUGCCUCAAGCCGCUGAGUAUCUAGAUGAGAGUGUUCAUGAGACCAAAUGGGCAAGAUGUCAAUUUCCGGGAGAAAGGUACAACAUAGAUACAACCAACACUGUUGAAUCAAUCAAUGGUGUUUUAAAGGAACCAAGGAAAUAUGCAUUGUUGCCAAUGCUUGAUGUGAUCAUUGGGAAGAUGGUAGAAUGGUUUAACAAAUAUCGUGAUUUAUCUUUACGCGUUCCAGAGAGACAGAUACUAAUUCCCUACGUGCAUGGGAUAUUGCAUCACAGUUAUCCGAAGGCAAAAAAGCUCACGGUGAUGGAGCUAAACAGAUUUGAACGUCAGUACACUGUGAUUGGCAAAGAUGGUCAAGGUUAUUAUGUUGAUUUAGGCAACGGAACAUGCCAGUGCAAGUGUUUUGAUAUUGAUCGGUAUCCUUGUGUGCAUGCACAGGCUGCGAUCAUCGCGCGUGGAGAAAUGUCUGAAGACUAUUGUUCUAAGUAUUAUUAUAUGGAGCAGUGGACUUUGGCAUAUUACAAGACAAUAUAUCCAGUGCCUCAUCAUUCAUUAUGGGAAAGUUAUGAAAUUCCAGAUGAAAUCCUAUCUCAGGUUGUCUACCCUCCGCAUGUGGAAAGAAAGAAAGGAAGACUACAAGAAACUAGAUUUCCAUCAGCUGGGGAAUAUCGGAGGAAGAAAAAGAAGAAGUAUCCACCAUUGGUGUGUGAGAAUGAUGGAAUUGACAGCGAUGAAAGUGGAAGCGAUGGAAUUGAUGAAUGAGUCUUACUUAUGUGUUAUGGAACUUGCUUAUGUCUUGUGAGUCUUACUUAUGUGUUAUGGAACUUGCUUAGUCUUGUGAGUCUUACUUAUGUGUUAUGAAACUUAUUUAUGUGUUGUAGAACUUAUUUAUGUAAUGUGUUGUUUCUGUCAGGUACAACAGGUACAAUUGGUAAAACUUCAUUAAACCUAACAUUCAUGUUUUUGUGUUGUUAUACUGGUACAACUAGUAAAACUAAAAAUAAGUUAUACUGGAAUAACUAGUUCAACUAUGUCUAGUUUACUAAAAUAGGUUCUACUGGAAUAACUAGUACAACUAUGGAGGAUCUGAAAUUUAAAUAUUAUUUUAGGUUUUUUCAUAUUAAUAAAACAUUCAAAUGGUCUAAUUUUAAGUGUUUGGAUAGGUUUCUUUGUGUUUUGUAUUGUUUUUUUUUUUUUUCUGGAUUUCUACCUCCAUCACAAAAGUUUGCUUGAUCUACCUUAUACUUUUAAGGUUUGUUAACAUAUUUGUCCACAUAUUUUUUGAAAAACAUACAUGACAAGUAUUUUCACAAUAGUGAUGAUUUCAUUGUAUCCGGGCAAACACAUGUUAACAUAAAUGAGUGGUACAACUUAGAUAAUGGUAUUUCUCUUUGGUACAACUAAUAUAUUCAGGUUUCACUGCCAAAGUACAACUCUGUACAAACUAGUAUAACUAAUAAACUAGUACAACUUUGUGCAAGCCAGUAUAACUAAUAAAUUAGUACAACUUUGUAGAAACCAGUACAACUAAAAAACUAAAACAACUUUGUGUGCAUAAUGAGUUUCAAAUAAGUGGAUUCCCAGAUAAGUCCUACACUUUUUAAUUUAACACUAGGUGUACUAGUUUUUCUAGUUAUACUACUUUCAUAUUUUUUGGCAUAGUUGAUGCUGUAAUGUUGUUUUACUUCCCACCUGUAAUUGCAACCUGUUCAACCACCAAGUUUGGAUUUAGGUUUUAAAACACACACACAUACAAGUUUUAGGUUUUAAAACACACACACAUACAAGUUCAUCCGUUUUAGGUUUUAAAACAAACACAUACAAGUUCCAAAAACAACAACAUAGUUCAGCCAAAUCAGUUUGGCGUAAAAGGAGACCUCAACAAAUGAGAACGCUUGGGCACCCUCUUUGGCAUCUCAGCAGGAUCCUGUGAAUCUCCAACCGAAGCUGUGUUCUCUAAAGCGUCAUCAACUCUAACCUCACCUUCCUUCUCCAAAGCAUCAUCAUCUACAACCUCAUCUGUCUUGUCCACAACAGCUUUUUCCGCAGCAGCCUUCUCAAAUCUCUCUGCAGUGUCUGCCAUAAUUUGAAGUGUAGAUUGCUCAUCUCCAUCUUCAGUAUCUACAUUGAACAAAAAUACAUCCUGACUUAGAUCAUCAUCAUUAAAAAUAAAAUUUGAAGUUAUAUGUUAUCAUGACUUACCUUGCAUCAACUUCUCAGCCUCUACCUCGAUAUGUUUCUCACCAUCCUUCUCAGCCUCUGCCUCAAUCUGUUUCUCACUAUCCUUCUCAGCCUCAUCACCCUUGUCAGCCUCUGCCUCAAUCUGCUUCUCACCAUCCUUCUCAGCCUCAUCACCCUUGUCAGCCUCAUCACCAUCCUCGCCCUCCUUAUCAGGCUCAUCAUCACCAUCCUUAUCAGCCUUAUCACCAUCCUCACCCUCCUUAUCAGGCUCAUCAUCACCAUCCUUAUCAGCCUUAUCACCAUCCUUGUUAGUCUCAUCACCAUCCUUAUCACCAUGUAUCUCACCCUCCUUAUCACCAUGCAUCUCGCCCUCCUUAUCACCAAGUAUCUCAGCCUCCUUAUCACCAUACAUCUCGCCCUCCUGGAACGACCAACUUUCUCUCUGGAUUUUUUCUUCUUCCAACUCCUUUACUCUUGCUUCCAGAAGACGAAUUGUUUCGUCUCUCAAUGCAAAUCCAUCAUCCAUUCUUUUGUUCAACUUCAACUCUAAUUCUCUUAAACUCUCACGACCUGCUUCGCCCCCUGUUUGAACUCCUGCCUCACCCCCUGCCUCGCCUCCUGCCUCGCCUCCUGCCUCUCCUCCUGCCUCGCCUCCUGCCUCGCCCCCUGCCUCGCCUCCUGCCUCCUCUUGUUGCUCUCGGGUUCUCACAUCCAUCUCAUAUAGAUCCGGCCAGAAGAUUUUUUUCCCUGGUUCCAUUAGGAUCUUGUUCCAACUGUCAACAGCUAUGUCUAGCGUAUCCGAAUCAUCUAUCAGCUCCAAGUCUUCAAAAGUCCCUUCAUCCAUUAUUUCAUACAAAAGGUCUACUUCAUUUCCUUUUGGUUCCAAAACACUGAUAAUCUCCUGAAAUGACCAACAACAAAUUACACAUUUAAUUAACUAUGAACUUGAAGAAAAUGACAUAAACAACACUUAAAAAAAUUAUAAGCUUUUACCUUUGUGUUUCCUAGCGUCCGAUAAAUCAUGUCAAGUGGAAAUCCUGUUGUUCCGGUCCUCUUGAACUUCCAUUUGCACAUUCUUGGACAACCAUCAAAACAGUUUGGAACAGGCUCUCUGAAUCUUUCCCUAAGGACAGGGAUACAUUCAAAUGCUAAUAUCUGCACAUCAUUUCACACAAUCACUUUAGUUAUAUUAUAACAAAUAUGCUUAUGAAAAAUGUUAUUCAUAUACCUCCAAAGGGUUGAUAAACCCAGGAAAUACCCACUGUGCAUGCUCUGGGAUCCCAUCACGAAAAUGAUCCCUUACAUGAAAAAUCUCCUUCAUGCAAUCAUCAAAGGUGUAACGGCCCCAUGGAAAUUCGGUGCAAAACUCCAAAUCUUCUACUGCUUGGAGAAGGAAAUACUCAAUGAAGUAUCCUGCUUUGGACCUUCCUCUUAAAACUGUAGCCAGAAAGUAAAGAACCGCCAUCCUCAGACGAUCGCCACUACCAUCAAAUUUCAUCUUCUGAAGUUUCUCCUUAACAUCCGCUUCUGUCACUUGCAGACCCUUUUCCUUCCCAUCCUUUGUCUUCUUCACUUUAAAAUACUUUCUCGCAAACUUCAGUCUCCCUAUGCUCUGAUAGUUUUCUGGAUAUGAGUGGCAGUAUAAACCAGAGAGGAGGCUAUGUUCCCUGAUAGAGUAUCUAAUUGGAACACCGUUUACCCCAAACCAAGCUUGUCGACCCUUCUCUGUAUGCAUAGUACGAAGUAGCAACAUCCACAAUCCCAUCACUUUUCUUGUUGAGGUACAAUCCAUGUGGAAUAUAUGCUUGAACUGAGGAUGUUCCUGAAACCAACUCUUCUCUGAGGCAUCCAACUUACCAAUCGUCUUGUUCAGAAAAUCGUGUUGAUGGCACCUUGAGGAGAGCUUGCAACCCUUUCCAUAGUUGCUCGGAUUGAAGAAAAAACCAGCAGGUCUGUCAGCUUCUACGGUCAUAUCAUCACUCUCAACCUGAAAAAUACAAACAAAAUACAAAGAAUAAAUAACUGAGUUAUACAACACAUAAACACUUAGUUGUACCAGUUACACUAAUUAAAUUAAAAAUAAUAUUACUAGUUCUACCAGCAAGCCUAGUUAUACAACAACAACACCAUCUCAUUAAACAGUUAUACAAAAUACUUCUCUAGUUAUACUAGUCAGACUACGUAUAAGAAGCGUAGUUGUACCAGUUAUAUUACUUAUAAAAAAAAAUUUACUAGUUAUCCUGAAUUUGUUUACAACAUAUUAUUACCAGUUGCACCAUUUUCACUCUUUUAGUUGUACUAGUAAUUUAAUACUCGGUUGUAUUAGUUAGACUAAUUAUACUUUUCAUAGUUAUACCAGUUAUAUUAGUUAUAAGAAGUGUGGUUGUACUAGUUAUACUAGUUCCAUUGAUUCUGUUUUACAACAUUUUAUUACCAGUUGAACUAGUUUCAUUCUUUUAGUUGUACUAGUUACACUUCUUAUAUAAUCACUACUUAUUUUUUUUUUCGACCCUAUGAUAAAUAUUUCUAGAACCAUUUAAGUUGACUUGUUUACCGUUCUUGGAGCGUCGUUGUCAAUGGCAGCAGAUCCAAUAGCAGCCUCAUGUGAAUUUGAAUCUAUGUUGUUAGAUCCAAUCUGCUCACGGUUCCUAUUUGUUAGUCCAAUUUUAUCAUAAAAAUUCCAAAACCAUUUUAAUUGAUUUGUUUACCGUUUGCCCGUCAUUGUUAAUGGCAGCCUCGGGUGAGCCUGAUUCUCUGUUGGUAGAAGUUAUUGGAGCUUGCAGUGGAUUCUCCGCCUCAUUGGGUGUUUGAGUAGGUGAUUUUUGUGGCUCAAUCGGAACUGAUGGGCUUGGCGUACCCUCUCUAUCAUCCUGCGAAGGUAACUCCGUUGAUAGUGGCGGAUAAUGAUCAGGAUCGGCUUGAUGUUCUGGUGAAGAUGCGGUCUGAGGCCGCUUGGUUGGAUUGGACGAGGACUCAUCGUCUACACCACUGUCUCGCUUCCUCUUCUUCUCUGCGGUUUCAAUCUUCUUUUUCUCUGCAUCUCUUUUUUUUUUAACGGCUUCUCUCCUCCUUUUCACCGCUGCUUGUUUUUUCUUUAUCACAGAGUCUUUCUUCUUCUUUUCCGCCUCAGCUUUCUUCUUCUCCACCGCAGCUUUCUUCUUCUCCACCACUGACUCAUUCUUCUUCUUCUUCUCCGGCGCACCUUCUUUGUUCGUUUGUUCGGUGAAACGAGUCUUUGGAGCCAUAGUGUUUCAAAGAGUAACACGAAAUAGAGAAACAAAUGAGAUAGAGGGAGAUCGUGAUGAUUGUGGUAGAGUUUGAUUAGUGAGAUGAGAUAGAGGGAAGGGGGAGAGAUCGUGAAUUUUUUUCUGUUGGUUAUGUCGGGGAAGAGGAAUUAGGGAUUUAGUUUGAUUUAGGGGGAAGGAUCCGGGAAGGGCACGCGGGUCGGGUUAGUGGGUGGGGUAGGUUGGUUGGAUAUGUAAAUAAGUUAAAGUUUUAGGUUUUAUAGUAUUUUCAGCUUAAUUUCGAUUUAUUAUUAAUUCAUUAAAAAAAUAAAAACAGAAGUGUCCUUUUCCAGAUUUUUGUGUGCCCAUUUGGUCGAUCUCAGCAUUUGAUUCGAUAAUACCGUGUAGAAGUGGUGAGGAAGCUGAAUAAGUCUUCAUCCACUGUUCUGUCUCGAACUUCUCCCGCUUCAUAUGGGCAAGCGCUUGACUGGUUCUGUUUCUCAAUGACAGAGUCACAGCUGCCGCAGGUCUUUAGCACAGGGCUUGGUGAAGACAGUGUUGAAAGGCUUAGUCGUGGUCGCUGGGUUUUUUUUUUUUUUUUUUUUUUUUUUUUUUUGUAAAUG
Molecule: long non-coding RNA, 8757 nt
Filed under: Brassica napus (rape)
Lineage: Eukaryota; Viridiplantae; Streptophyta; Magnoliopsida; Brassicales; Brassicaceae
Description: long non-coding RNA (BNAP_LNC002406)
Source: RNAcentral